ACGCUCGACACCUACGGGGGCAGCAGUGAGGAAUAUUGGUCAAUGGGCGCUAGCCUGAACCAGCCAAGUAGCGUGAAGGAUGAAGGCUCUAUGGGUCGUAAACUUCUUUUAUAUAAGAAUAAAGUGCAGUAUGUAUACUGUUUUGUAUGUAUUAUAUGAAUAAGGAUCGGCUAACUCCGUGCCAACAGCCGCGGUAAUCUGAGCGGGCUGGCAAGGC
This 217-nucleotide ribosomal RNA is filed under the name uncultured bacterium. RNAcentral's name for it is "partial 16S ribosomal RNA". It matches the Rfam family "Bacterial small subunit ribosomal RNA", at positions 328 to 539 of the family's 1533-position model. The record is from RNAcentral.